GGGGACAGCCCGGCGUCCCAGGUGUGCCCGGGAUGAAAGGUGACGAUGGCAGCCCAGGCCGCGAUGGGCUCGAUGGAUUCCCCGGCCUCCCAGGCCCUCCCGGUGAUGGCAUCAAGGGCCCUCCAGGGGACCCAGGCUAUCCAGGAAUACCUGGAACGAAGGGUACUCCAGGAGAAAUGGGCCCCCCAGGACUGGGCCUUCCCGGCCUCAAAGGCCAACGUGGUUUCCCUGGAGACGCCGGCUUACCUGGACCACCAGGCUUCCUGGGCCCUCCUGGCCCCGCAGGGACCCCAGGACAAAUAGAUUGUGACACAGAUGUGAAAAGGGCCGUUGGAGGUGACAGACAGGAGGCCAUCCAGCCAGGUUGCAUAGGAGGGCCCAAGGGAUUGCCAGGCCUGCCAGGACCCCCAGGCCCCACAGGUGCCAAAGGCCUCCGAGGAAUCCCAGGCUUCGCAGGAGCUGAUGGAGGACCAGGGCCCAGGGGCUUGCCAGGAGACGCAGGUCGUGAAGGGUUCCCAGGACCCCCAGGGUUCAUAGGACCCCGAGGAUCCAAAGGUGCAGUGGGCCUCCCUGGCCCAGAUGGAUCCCCAGGUCCCAUCGGCCUGCCAGGGCCAGAUGGGCCCCCUGGGGAAAGGGGCCUCCCUGGAGAAGUCCUGGGAGCUCAGCCCGGGCCACGGGGAGAUGCUGGUGUGCCUGGACAGCCUGGGCUUAAAGGCCUUCCCGGAGACAGAGGCCCCCCUGGAUUCAGAGGAAGCCAAGGGAUGCCUGGGAUGCCAGGGCUGAAGGGCCAGCCAGGCCUCCCAGGACCUUCCGGCCAGCCAGGCCUGUAUGGGCCUCCAGGACUGCAUGGAUUCCCAGGAGCUCCUGGCCAAGAGGGGCCCUUGGGGCUGCCAGGAAUCCCAGGCCGUGAAGGUCUGCCUGGUGAUAGAGGGGACCCUGGGGACACAGGCGCUCCUGGCCCUGUGGGCAUGAAAGGUCUCUCUGGUGACAGAGGAGAUGCUGGCUUCACAGGGGAGCAAGGCCAUCCAGGAAGCCCUGGAUUUAAAGGAAUUGAUGGAAUGCCUGGGACCCCCGGGCUAAAAGGAGAUAGAGGCUCACCUGGGAUGGAUGGUUUCCAAGGCAUGCCUGGACUCAAAGGGAGACCCGGGUUUCCAGGGAGCAAAGGCGAGGCUGGAUUUUUCGGAAUACCCGGUCUGAAGGGUCUGGCUGGUGAGCCAGGUUUUAAAGGCAGCCGAGGGGACCCUGGGCCCCCAGGACCACCUCCUGUCAUCCUGCCAGGAAUGAAAGACAUU
This 1292-nucleotide long non-coding RNA is filed under the name Homo sapiens (human). RNAcentral describes it as "long non-coding RNA NONHSAT166321.1". Lineage: Eukaryota; Metazoa; Chordata; Mammalia; Primates; Hominidae. The record is from RNAcentral.